UCACUUUUGGCCCACUUUUUCUCCGAAUUUGCAGUUUUCACCCCAAAAGUUGCCAAUUCUUCAAUUUGCACCUAAAAUACAAAUAAUAGCCAUAUUAAGCACCAAUUAUCGUAAAAACACAUCAAAAGCUCCAAUUAAAAGGUACAAUUAAGUGUAUAAAUAUACACUUAACACACCCCCAAACUUGAACUUUUGCUUGUCCUCAAGUAAAAUCAAAUUAAGAACACAAACCAUGACAAUACAUCUCAUUACAUAGGUCGAUUGGUCAACUUCGUGUUUUCAGAACUUGCAAUUAUGAUGAUAAUUCCUAGGUAUUCGCAAGCUUAACAUUCAACGGCACGUAGUCACUCACUAUUACCAAAAACCACAAGUCAUACAAUUGCUUCAAGUAUCCAAUAUUUGCAAGUUAAAGAUAGAAAAAAUUUAUACUUACAUGCAUAUAUUUGACUCCAAAUACUCACCAAAUUAUUUUACUCAACUAAUAUUGAACAAUAAGCUAUUGGGAUCAUUGGGGCUUUGUGGCUUUCAAUUGUUAGGCUCUUUGGUCCGAGGUAGGUAGUAUGGGAAUGUGUGGCUAAUUUUCUUGAAUUGAGGUGAAUACGCCAAAAUUUGAAAGAUAGGCGUUUGAAACAAUGAAUUCACCUCUAGGGACUUAAAUAAACUCGAUUCUCCAAAAUUCACACGUCAACACUUUUGCCUUGAGGCAAUGGAUCGAGUUUUCAACACAACUCAACAACUAGUCCUUAUUUCUCCCUUCUAAUCUAUUCUUCUUCUUCUCUCUUUUUUUUUUUUUUUUUCAAAUCGAAGGAUUUAGAUAUAUAUAUAUGAAGAUGCACAUAUAUAACUAUCCUUUUUCUUUUUCUCUUUUUUUUUUUUUUUUUUUUUUUUUAUUAUUAUUUUUUUUUUUUCGAAGAAGAAGAAAGAUCUUAUAAGAAUUUUUCGACCGACCACCAAGGGAUAAUUAUUCAAAAAUCUCCACUUUUCUACCUUCUACUAAUUGGCUAAAAGAAAGAACACCUUUUCUCCGAGGCUCAAAUCAAGGUUCUAAGGAUAAAUUGACAAAAAGGGUAGGCUUGAAAGGCUCAAACGGUUCAAAGAAGGCCCAAAUCAUAUCCCAAAUCACUUAUUAUCAACACUUCGUAUCAUAAAUGUCAUAAGGUGAGAUUUAAAACCGAACAAAGCAUGAUUGAGCACAAAUAAAUUCCAAAUUUAAAAUGCAAAACAUUCAACCAAAGCAAUGCACAAGGUGUGAUUCCUAACAAUAAUUCACUUCUACGUUCCGUUGAAUCGAAAG
RNAcentral lists this long non-coding RNA (1294 nucleotides) under Erythranthe guttata (spotted monkey flower). RNAcentral describes it as "long non-coding RNA (EGUT_LNC000725)". Lineage: Eukaryota; Viridiplantae; Streptophyta; Magnoliopsida; Lamiales; Phrymaceae. The record is from RNAcentral.